Molecule: ribosomal RNA, 335 nt
Filed under: uncultured bacterium
Lineage: Bacteria
Description: bacterial SSU rRNA
Rfam family: Bacterial small subunit ribosomal RNA
Source: RNAcentral
AGUAUUUUCGGAUCGCAUGUAUUUGAUUAUUAAAGUUCCAACGGUAAAAGAUGAGUAUGCGUCCCAUUAGCUAGUUGGUAAGGUAACGGCUUACCAAGGCUACGAUGGGUAGGGGUCCUGAGAGGGAGAUCCCCCACACUGGUACUGAGACACGGACCAGACUCCUACGGGAGGCAGCAGUGAGGAAUAUUGGACAAUGGGCGCAAGCCUGAUCCAGCCAUGCCGCGUGCAGGAUGACGGUCCUAUGGAUUGUAAACUGCUUUUAUACAGGAAGAAACACUCCGACGUGUCGGAGCUUGACGGUACUGUAAGAAUAAGGAUCGGCUAACUCCGUG